This 492-nucleotide ribosomal RNA is filed under the name uncultured bacterium. RNAcentral's name for it is "partial 16S ribosomal RNA". It matches the Rfam family "Bacterial small subunit ribosomal RNA", at positions 29 to 507 of the family's 1533-position model. The record is from RNAcentral.
AGUGAACGCUGGCGGUAGGCCUAACACAUGCAAGUCGAACGGCAGCACAGUAAGAGCUUGCUCUUACGGGUGGCGAGUGGCGGACGGGUGAGGAAUACAUCGGAAUCUACUUUUUCGUGGGGGAUAACGUAGGAAAACUUACGCUAAUACCGCAUACGACCUACGGGUGAAAGCAGGGGAUCUUCGGACCUUGCGCGAUUGAAUGAGCCGAUGUCGGAUUAGCUAGUUGGCGGGGUAAAGGCCCACCGAGGCGACGAUCCGUAGCUGGUCUGAGAGGAUGAUCAGCCACACUGGAACUGAGACACGGUCCAGACUCCUACGGGAGGCAGCAGUGGGGAAUAUUGGACAAUGGGCGCAAGCCUGAUCCAGCCAUACCGCGUGGGUGAAGAAGGUCUUCGGGUUGUAAAGCCCUUUUGUUGGGAAAGAAAAGCAGCAGGUUAAUACCCCGCUGUUCUGACGGUACCCAAAGAAUAAGCACCGGCUAACUUCGUG